UACGGAGGGGACAAGCGUUAUUCGGAAUCACUGGGCGUAAAGGACGCGUAGGCGGGUUAUUAAGUCGGGUGUGAAAUCCAAUGGCUCAACCAUUGAACUGCAUUCGAAACUGAUAACCUAGAGUAUGGAAGGGGCAGGUGGAAUUAGUGGUGUAGGGGUAAAAUCCGUAGAUAUCACUAGGAAUACCGAAAGCGAAGGCGACCUGCUGGGACAUUACUGACGCUGAGGCGUGAAAGCGUGGGGAGCAAACAGGAUUAGAUACCCGUCGUA
This 270-nucleotide ribosomal RNA is filed under the name uncultured prokaryote. Its description in RNAcentral is "partial 16S ribosomal RNA". It matches the Rfam family "Bacterial small subunit ribosomal RNA", at positions 524 to 792 of the family's 1533-position model. The record is from RNAcentral.